RNAcentral lists this unclassified non-coding RNA (881 nucleotides) under Hevea brasiliensis (rubber tree). The record is from RNAcentral. Lineage: Eukaryota; Viridiplantae; Streptophyta; Magnoliopsida; Malpighiales; Euphorbiaceae.
AAGAAACCCAUAUCAAAACCUUGCAAGAAAAAUAUAGAAAACAUCAAGAAUUUGAGCAUGGACCUUAAAAUUCCAUGAACUAACUUUAGCCUCAGAUGAGGCACAGAUUCAUUUCAAUUUUCACUUAUUCAUAUUCAGCAGCAUAUAUACACAGGAAAUUCACACCGUUUUUCAAUACACACACACUGUUUUCUGAACAAAACUAGGUGUUUGAUGGGCAUAAUAACAAGUGUAUAUAGUUUAUUAGUAUUUCACUAAGAAUCAUCCCCUCCUGCGAUAAUCAGCACCUGGUUCAUGCUCCUUAUACCUCUCCUGCACCGAUUGAAUAUCUCCAUCGCCACUAGAAGCCUCUUCCAAGCCGUCAGACGUCUUUUCCGCAGUUUGGCUAGCCCCACCUUGAUCUACGACAUGGGUUGUUUCCUGCGCCUUUGCCUUCUCCUCUGCAACUCUUCUGAACUCAUCAGCUAGCGAAGGUGCUCUCUCUUCUACUCCUUGCCCGUGACUUUGUGUGUUGUACUGAUUAUAUCCCUGUAAGGCCAAACUCAUCCAUAUGAGCAAAUGAGAAAUUAUAAAUUAAAAAGGAACUUAGGAUAUGUACCUUGAUGGGGCUGUAGAGAAAUGGUGUUGAAGGCCUCGCAGGCAUUAACGGCCACGAAAGGUUGCAGAAAAGCAAGAGACGGCGACCCAUCGGGUAAAGAUUAGUCUUGCAAGAAAUUUGGAGAUUGAAGGGACAGAAAAGCUGCGUGUGCAAAGGAUUAAAAAAGAGGGUAAUCUGCUAAUGAGAGAGUGUGCACGUGUCUUCCAGUGGCAGCAGCUCUGUCGGCACGUAGCGCUAUUUGCGUUUGCCAGGCAUGCAAUGAUUUUCUGUAAUUUGUGUAAGG